AUACGGAGGACGCGAGCGUUAUCCGGAUUCAUUGGGUUUAAAGGGUGCGCAGGCGGCCGUGCAAGUCAGCGGUGAAAGCCCGGGGCUCAACCCCGGAAGUGCCGUUGAUACUGCGUGGCUGGAAUGCGGUCGAGGCGGGCGGAACGUGGCGGGUCGCGGGGAAAUGCGUAGAAAUGCCACAGAACACCGAUAGCGGAGGCAGCUCGCCAGGCCUGCAUUGACGCUCGGGCACGAAAGCGUGGGGAUCGAACAGGAUUAGAUACCCUGGUAGUCCACGCCGUAAACGAUGGGCGCUCGUCGUCGGCGACAGACAGUCGGCGGCCAAGCGAAAGCGAUAAGCGCCCCACCUGGGGAGUACGGUCGCAAGGCUGAAACUCAAAGGAAUUGGCGGGG
This 393-nucleotide ribosomal RNA is filed under the name uncultured bacterium. Its description in RNAcentral is "partial 16S ribosomal RNA". It matches the Rfam family "Bacterial small subunit ribosomal RNA", at positions 523 to 918 of the family's 1533-position model. The record is from RNAcentral.